Molecule: ribosomal RNA, 496 nt
Filed under: uncultured bacterium
Lineage: Bacteria
Description: partial 16S ribosomal RNA
Rfam family: Bacterial small subunit ribosomal RNA
Source: RNAcentral
GAUGAACGCUGGCGGCGUGCCUAAUACAUGCAAGUCGAGCGAACAGACGAGGAGCUUGCUCCUCUGACGUUAGCGGCGGACGGGUGAGUAACACGUGGAUAACCUACCUAUAAGACUGGGAUAACUUCGGGAAACCGGAGCUAAUACCGGAUAAUAUAUUGAACCGCAUGGUUCAAUAGUGAAAGACGGUUUUGCUGUCACUUAUAGAUGGAUCCGCGCCGCAUUAGCUAGUUGGUAAGGUAACGGCUUACCAAGGCAACGAUGCGUAGCCGACCUGAGAGGGUGAUCGGCCACACUGGAACUGAGACACGGUCCAGACUCCUACGGGAGGCAGCAGUAGGGAAUCUUCCGCAAUGGGCGAAAGCCUGACGGAGCAACGCCGCGUGAAUGAUGAAGGUCUUCGGAUCGUAAAACUCUGUUAUUAGGGAAGAACAAAUGUGUAAGUAACUAUGCACGUCUUGACGGUACCGAAUCAGAAAGCCACGGCUAACUACGU